UUUCCUUUCUCGUUCCCCGGCCAUCUUAGCGGCUGCUGUUGGUUGGGGGCCGUCCCGCACCUAAGGCAGGAAGAUGGUGGCCGCAAAGAAGACGGUGAGUGAGGCGGGCCAGGCCCGGAAGCCGAUUCACGUGGAGAGAUGUCUCGGCCAGGGCGGGCAGAUGUGAGCCCACUGGGAUGACAGCAUGCUUGCUGGCAUUUGGAGGGCCCCAGAGGGAAUCCCAGUGGCCCUCUCAAUGACUUGGGGUCCUCGACUUCGGAAGUUUAAGGGGCUCGGCUUCAAAAAGCUGGGUCCGGUUUUGAGGUGGUUGCACGCGAGGCCCUUAGGUCCGUAUUUAAUGUUUGCUUUGUAGAAAAAGUCGCUGGAGUCGAUCAACUCUAGGCUUCAACUCGUUAUGAAAAGUGGGAAGUACGUCCUGGGGUACAAGCAGACUCUGAAGAUGAUCAGACAAGGCAAAGCGAAAUUGGUCAUUCUCGCUAACAACUGCCCAGCUUUGAGGUAAUCGAAGAAACUGAACGGGCGUCGCCUACCGCGAAUUCAUCGUGAACGAAUAUACAGGAGUGUAAACUUGUA
Molecule: small RNA, 573 nt
Filed under: Pongo abelii (Sumatran orangutan)
Lineage: Eukaryota; Metazoa; Chordata; Mammalia; Primates; Hominidae
Description: retained intron
Source: RNAcentral